Molecule: long non-coding RNA, 623 nt
Organism: Cercocebus atys (sooty mangabey)
Lineage: Eukaryota; Metazoa; Chordata; Mammalia; Primates; Cercopithecidae
Exons: 2
Source: RefSeq, a predicted model, not a curated record
GCCCUUGCGACGGCCGCUGUCCCCCGCAGAUGCCCUCUGCAGCUCCUGCGUGCGGGCCCCGCUCUGUAUUGCCCUCCUCGUGUGGGACCCGGUUUCGUCUUCACUGCAGGCCUGCCGAGUCGGAAGCAUCUCCAUUGUGCAGAUGGGGAAACUGAGGCCCAGAGCGCGCAGUUGGGCUGGCCACGAAGGCAGGGCCGCCGGAUGCUGUGCGGGGAUGGGGCCCUGCAGCCCUUGCGCCUCUCACCAUGCGGCCUCAGGCCCCUGGGCCCGGCAGCGUCUCUGGAGUGGGCAUUUUGAACGAGCGCCCUACUGAUUUUCACACAAACUUAAGUCUGAAGACCGUGCGGGGGCGGAUGUCUGCCCCUUUGGUGACCAGCUCACAGCUCCCUCGGGAAGACGAUUGACUGGGGAAUGGGGACCCUGGGGAGGGGGCCUUCAUGGUUCCAUCUGUCUGUUUACGCCAGAAAACAGAGAUUUCUGUUUUUUUUCCGCUGGGCUCACAGCAGUUGCUUAAUAAACAGAUCUUGUGGCUGGAGCAGAGGCCAGUGGGAUUCAGGCAGAACUCCAGGAUUCAACCCCUGGAUCUGGGAGGCUUCCCACCCGUGCACAUAUCCCUGACUUAA